RNAcentral lists this ribosomal RNA (492 nucleotides) under uncultured bacterium. RNAcentral's name for it is "partial 16S ribosomal RNA". It matches the Rfam family "Bacterial small subunit ribosomal RNA", at positions 29 to 507 of the family's 1533-position model. The record is from RNAcentral.
AGUGAACGCUGGCGGUAGGCCUAACACAUGCAAGUCGAACGGCAGCACAGUAAGAGCUUGCUCUUACGGGUGGCGAGUGGCGGACGGGUGAGGAAUACAUCGGAAUCUACUUUUUCGUGGGGGAUAAGGUAGGGAAACUUACGCUAAUACCGCAUACGCCCUACGGGUGAAAGCAGGGGAUCUUCGGACCUUGCGCGAUUGAAUGCGCCGAUGUCGGAUUAGCUAGUUGGCGGGGUAAAGGCCCACCAAGGCGCCGAUCCGUAGCUGGUCUGAGUGGAUGAUCAGCCACACUGGAACUGAGACACGGUCCAGACUCCUACGGGAGGCAGCAGUGGGGAAUAUUGGACAAGGGGCGCAAGCCUGAUCCAGCCAUACCGCGUGGGUGAAGAAGGCCUUCGGGUUGUAAAGCCCUGUUGUUGGGAAAGAAAAGCAGCAGGUUAAUACCCCGCUGUUCUGACGGUACCCAAAGAAUAAGCACCGGCUAACUUCGUG